AACGAACGCUGGCGGCGUGCCUGAGACAUGCAAGUCGUGGGAGAAAGUCGGAGCAAUCCGGCUAGUAAACCGGCGCACGGGUGAGUAACACGUGGACAACCUGCCUUGGAGUUCGGGAGUAACCCGUCGAAAGACGGACUAAUACCGGAUAUGACCACGGGGAGUUCGCUCUCUGAGGUAAAAGAUGGCCUCUGCUCCUGCAAGCUAUCUCUUCGAGAGGGGUCCGCGUCCUANCAGCUAGUUGGUGAGGUAACGGCUCACCAAGGCUAAGACGGGUAGGCUGGUCUGAGAGGAUGGUCANCCACACUGGGACUGAGACACGGCCCAGAGUCCUACGGGAUGCAGCAGUCAGGAAUA
This 357-nucleotide ribosomal RNA is filed under the name uncultured bacterium. RNAcentral's name for it is "bacterial SSU rRNA". It matches the Rfam family "Bacterial small subunit ribosomal RNA", at positions 29 to 363 of the family's 1533-position model. The record is from RNAcentral.